GUACACUCCUACGGGAGGCAGCAGUGGGGAAUAUUGGACAAUGGGCGCAAGCCUGAUCCAGCCAUGCCGCGUGAGUGAUGAAGGCCCUAGGGUUGUAAAGCUCUUUCACCGGUGAAGAUAAUGACGGUAACCGGAGAAGAAGCCCCGGCUAACUUCGUGCCAGCAGCCGCGGUAAUACGAAGAGGGCUAGCGUUGUUCGGAUUUACUGGGCGUAAAGCGCACGUAGGCGGACUAUUAAGUCAGGGGUGAAAUCCCGGGGCUCAACCCCGGAACUGCCUUUGAUACUGGUAGUCUUGAGUUCGAGAGAGGUGAGUGGAAUUCCGAGUGCAGAGGUGAAAUUCGUAGAUAUUCGGAGGAACACCAGUGGCGAAGGCGGCUCACUGGCUCGAUACUGACGCUGAGGUGCGAAAGCGUGGGGAGCAAACAGGAUUAGAUACCCGGGUAGUCCCAUG
Molecule: ribosomal RNA, 452 nt
Filed under: uncultured organism
Description: partial 16S ribosomal RNA
Rfam family: Bacterial small subunit ribosomal RNA
Source: RNAcentral